RNAcentral lists this ribosomal RNA (427 nucleotides) under uncultured bacterium. RNAcentral's name for it is "partial 16S ribosomal RNA". It matches the Rfam family "Bacterial small subunit ribosomal RNA", at positions 355 to 774 of the family's 1533-position model. The record is from RNAcentral.
UGGGGAAUAUUGGACAAUGGGCGAAAGCCUGAUCCAGCCAUGCCGCGUGUGUGAAGAAGGUCUUCGGAUUGUAAAGCACUUUAGGUUGGGAGGAAGGGCAUUAACCUAAUACGUUAGUGUUUUGACGUUACCGACAGAAUAAGCACCGGCUAACUCUGUGCCAGCAGCCGCGGUAAUACAGAGGGUGCAAGCGUUAAUCGGCAUUACUGGGCGUAAAGCGCGCGUAGGUGGUUUGUUAAGUUGGAUGUGAAAUCCCCGGGCUCAACCUGGGAACUGCAUUCAAAACUGACUGACUAGAGUAUGGUAGAGGGUGGUGGAAUUUCCUGUGUAGCGGUGAAAUGCGUAGAUAUAGGAAGGAACACCAGUGGCGAAGGCGACCACCUGGACUAAUACUGACACUGAGGUGCGAAAGCGUGGGGAGCAAACA